Molecule: ribosomal RNA, 494 nt
Filed under: uncultured bacterium
Lineage: Bacteria
Description: partial 16S ribosomal RNA
Rfam family: Bacterial small subunit ribosomal RNA
Source: RNAcentral
GACGAACGCUGGCGGCGCGCUUAACACAUGCAAGUCGAACGGAAAGGCCUGCUUUCCCUUGUGGAUUGCGGGUACUCGAGUGGCGAACGGGUGAGUAACACGUGAGUGAUCUGCCCCCAACUUGGGUAUAAGCCUGGGAAACUGGGUCUAAUUCCCGAUAGGACUGCAGGGUGGUGCCUGUGGUGGAAAACGAUUUUCUAGUGGUUGGGGAUGAGCUCGCGGCCUAUCAGCUUGUUGGUGGGGUAAUGGCCUACCAAGGCGGCGACGGGUAGCCGGCCUGAGAGGGUGGACGGCCACAUUGGGACUGAGAUACGGCCCAGACUCCUACGGGAGGCAGCAGUGGGGAAGAUGGGACAAUGGGCGGAAGCCUGAUGCAGCGACGCCGCGUGGGGGAUGACGGCCUUCGGGUGGUAAACUCCUUUCGACCGCGAGGAAGCCACCUGGUUGGAAGGGUGGUGACGGUAGUGGUAGAAGAAGCACCGGCUAACUACGUG